This 206-nucleotide long non-coding RNA is filed under the name Prunus persica (peach). RNAcentral describes it as "long non-coding RNA (PPER_LNC003830)". The record is from RNAcentral. Lineage: Eukaryota; Viridiplantae; Streptophyta; Magnoliopsida; Rosales; Rosaceae.
UAUGAAAAAAAAAAUAUUAAUCACUUAAAAAUCCACUACUAGAAAUAUAAACCAACUAAAAUAAGUGAAAAGUUCAUUUAAUUGGUCAUAGAUAAGUAAUGGUAAUUAAACUUAAAUCGCGUGAAACUUUCCAAAAACAAGAGCAACAAAAUGUUUGUGCAUUUUGAUUUAUGCAAGAAUUAUUUCUCAACUAUAUAUAUGUUCAU